AGCGAACGUUUGCGGCGGGCCUAACACAUGCAAGUCGAACGCACUAGCAAUAGUGAGUGGCGCACGGGUGCGUAACACGUGGGUAAUCAACCCUUCAGCUUGGGAUAACGACUUGAAAGGGUCGCUAAUACCGGAUACGGCGCGAGAGGCUUCGGCUUCUCACGAGAAAGCCUCGCAAGGGGCACUGAAGGACGAGCCUG
RNAcentral lists this ribosomal RNA (200 nucleotides) under uncultured bacterium. RNAcentral describes it as "partial 16S ribosomal RNA". It matches the Rfam family "Bacterial small subunit ribosomal RNA", at positions 29 to 233 of the family's 1533-position model. The record is from RNAcentral.